GUCUCCUUGGUGUAGUUGGUUAUCACGUGGGUCUCAUAUCUACCACAAUAUGACUUGCUUUUCUUUAUAGCAGGGAAAUCCCAAGGUCGCCAGUUCGAGUCUGGCAGGGGACA
Molecule: non-coding RNA, 113 nt
Organism: Pleomassaria siparia CBS 279.74
Lineage: Eukaryota; Fungi; Ascomycota; Dothideomycetes; Pleosporales; Pleomassariaceae
Source: the annotation of a GenBank genome assembly